GACGAACGCUGGCGGCGUGCUUAACACAUGCAAGUCGUACGGUAAGGCCCUUUCGGGGGUACACGAGUGGCGAACGGGUGAGUAACACGUGAGUAACCUGCCCACAACUUUGGGAUAACGCUAGGAAACUGGUGCUAAUACUGGAUAUGUGCUCCUGCUGCAUGGUGGGGGUUGGAAAGCUCCGGCGGUUGUGGAUGGACUCGCGGCCUAUCAGCUUGUUGGUGGGGUAGUGGCCUACCAAGGCGGCGACGGGUAGCCGGCCUGAGAGGGUGACCGGCCACAUUGGGACUGAGAUACGGCCCAGACUCCUACGGGAGGCAGCAGUGGGGAAUAUUGCACAAUGGGCGCAAGCCUGAUGCAGCAACGCCGCGUGCGGGAUGACGGCCUUCGGGUUGUAAACCACUUUCAGCAGGGACGAAGCUUUUUGUGACGGUACCUGCAGAAGAAGCACCGGCUAACUACGUG
Molecule: ribosomal RNA, 465 nt
Filed under: uncultured bacterium
Lineage: Bacteria
Description: partial 16S ribosomal RNA
Rfam family: Bacterial small subunit ribosomal RNA
Source: RNAcentral